UAGGUGGUUCCGGCAUGCCCGGCAGGUGAUUCCGGAGUCUCCGGCAUGUGGCUCUGGCACCUCUGAGAGGUGGUUCCGGAAUGCCUGGCAUGUGAUUCCGGAGUGUCUGCCGAGUGGUUCUGGCGUAGCCGGCAGUUGAUUUUGGCGUGUCCACUAGGUGGUUCUGGGGAGUGGAUCAGCUGGUUCCGGCAUACUCGGCAGGUGGUACCAGCGUGUCCAGAACAUGGUUCUGGCAAGUCUGAGAGGUGGUUCCGGCACGCCCGACAGGUGAUUCCGGAGCGUCCGACAAGUGUUUCUGGCGUACCCGGCAGGUGAUUUUGGCAUGUCCGACAGGUGUUUCUUGCAAGUCGAGCAGGUGGCUCAGGCAUGAUCAGCAGGUGCUUCCGGCCUGUCCGGCACGUGGUUCUGGUGUGUCUGAGAGCUGGUUCUGGCAUGUCCGGCAGAUGAUUCCGGAGUGUCCACCAAGUGGUUGUGGCAUACCCGGCAGAACCACGUGCCGGACAGGCCGGAAGCACCUGCUGAUCAUGCCUGAGCCACAUGCUCGACUUGCAAGAAACACCUGCCAGACACGCCAAAAUCACCUGUCGGGUACGCCAGAACCACGUGGCGCAUACUCCGGAAUCACCUGUCGGGCAUGCCGGAACCAAAUCUCAUACGUGCCAGAACCUCGUGGCGGACACGCCAGAACCACCUGCCGGAAAGACCGGAAACACCUGGUGGACACGCCAGAACCACUCGGCAGACACUCCGGAACCACAUGCCAGGCAUCACGGAAACACCUCUCAGAGGUGCCAGAACCAAAUGCCGGACACUCCGGAAUCACCUGCCGGGCAUGCCGGAACCACCUCUCAGAGGUGCCAGAACCACAUGCCGGACACUCCGGAAUCACCUGCCGGGCAUGCCGGAACCACCUGCCGGACAGACCGGAAACACCUGCUGGACACGCCGGAACCACCGGCUCGACUGGCCGGAACCACCGCCGGACAUGCAAAAUGACCUGCCGGCUACGCCAGAUCCACUCGGCAGACACUCCAGAAUCACCUGCCGGGCUGGCUGGAACCACCUGCCGGUCACGCCAACAUCACAUUUCAGCUACGCCAGAACCACUUGGCGGACACUCCGGAAACACCUGUCGGGCCGGUCGGAACCACCUCUCAGACUUGCCAGAACCAUGUGCUGGACACGCCGGUACCACCUGCCGAGUAUGCCAGAACCAGCUGAUCCACUCCCCAGAACCACCUAGUGGACACGCCAAAAUGAACUGCCGGCUACGCCAGAACCACUCGGCAGACACUCCGGAAUCACAUGCCAGGCAUUCCGGAACCACCUCUCAGAGGUGCCAGAACCAAAUGCCGGACACUCCGGUAUCACCCGCCGGGCAUGCCGGAACCACCUCUCAGAGGUGCCAGAACCACAUGCCGGACACUCCGGAAUCACCUGCCGGGCAUGCCGGAACCACCUGCCGGACAUGCCGGAACCACCGGCUCGACUCGCCGGAACCAUUGCCGGACAUGCAAAAUCACCUGCCGGCUACGCCAGAACCACUUGGCGAACACUCC
RNAcentral lists this long non-coding RNA (1559 nucleotides) under Equus caballus (horse). RNAcentral's name for it is "lncRNA (ENSECAG00000056388.1)". The record is from RNAcentral. Lineage: Eukaryota; Metazoa; Chordata; Mammalia; Perissodactyla; Equidae.